GACGAACGCUGGCGGCGUGCUUAACACAUGCAAGUCGAACGGAAAGGCCCUGCUUUUGUGGGGUGCUCGAGUGGCGAACGGGUGAGUAACACGUGAGUAACCUGCCCUUGACUUUGGGAUAACUUCAGGAAACUGGGGCUAAUACCGGAUAGGAGCUCCUGCUGCAUGGUGGGGGUUGGAAAGUUUCGGCGGUUGGGGAUGGACUCGCGGCUUAUCAGCUUGUUGGUGGGGUAGUGGCUUACCAAGGCUUUGACGGGUAGCCGGCCUGAGAGGGUGACCGGCCACAUUGGGACUGAGAUACGGCCCAGACUCCUACGGGAGGCAGCAGUGGGGAAUAUUGCACAAUGGGCGGAAGCCUGAUGGAGCAACGCCGCGGGCGGGAGGACGGCCUUCGGGUUGUAAACCGCUUUCGCCUGUGACGAAGCGUGAGUGACGGUAAUGGGUAAAGAAGCACCGGCUAACUACGG
This 467-nucleotide ribosomal RNA is filed under the name uncultured bacterium. RNAcentral's name for it is "partial 16S ribosomal RNA". It matches the Rfam family "Bacterial small subunit ribosomal RNA", at positions 28 to 506 of the family's 1533-position model. The record is from RNAcentral.